RNAcentral lists this ribosomal RNA (253 nucleotides) under uncultured bacterium. RNAcentral describes it as "partial 16S ribosomal RNA". It matches the Rfam family "Bacterial small subunit ribosomal RNA", at positions 524 to 776 of the family's 1533-position model. The record is from RNAcentral.
UACGUAGGGUGCGAGCGUUAAUCGGAAUUAUUGGGCGUAAAGCGGGUGUAGGCGGACUGUUAAGUCAGGUGUGAAAUCCCAGGGCUCAACCCUGGAAGUGCACUUGAUACUGGCAGUCUUGAAUGUGGUAGAGGUUACUGGAAUUCCUGGUGUAGUGGUGAAAUACGUAGAUAUCAGGAGGAACACCGGAGGCGAAGGCGGGUAACUGGGCCAACAUUGACGCUUAGACCCGAAAGCGUGGGGAUCAAACAGG